CGGUCAAUUAACAGUCUCUGAGUCCUGCUUUCCUUCCGAAACCUCUUUAGAACCCUAGACCGUUACUUCUCCAUAAAAAGACCCUUCUCCGUCGAAAUGCCUGGCGUCGCGGCGGACUCCACCACUUUCGCCAGCGGUGGCGCUUUAGUCCCAUUCGUGCCAGACACCGAAAUUUCCGUGGUGUACCCGCUUCACCACGGCCUAAAACCUCCAAUCUCUCGCGUCUCAAUCUCCUGGGCACGAGGAAACAAUCUCCGCAUCUCGUUACUCCGUAAUCUACCUUCCGAUUCCGACUCCGACUCGGAUGGAUAAUUUUGGGAAAAUAUUGUGGAAUUGGAUCAGGGCAGCGGAGCAGCCGAUGUCAGAGACGCCGAGCAUUGGCGCCGCAUUGCCUACGGCUCCGUCGCGCCUUUCGCGCUCCUUCAAAGCCGCAAGAAUGCAGUUUCGAGUUUUUCUAAAUUACAAUCAAGUCCCUCUCCAUAUGACCUUGACUGGCAAGUUUUGAAUUCUUUUUUCUCUGAGAAUUUUUAUUUAUUUAUUAAAAAUGUGGUAAAUUAAUUUCUUUAGGUGGGAGUAUGUAAUGGAGUAUAGCAAGGACAUAAAUGCACUACUUGGGAAUCCAAAGUCAAAUGAUAGUUCUUUAAUUGAAGACCCUAAAGAAGUUUUGAAGAAAUUUGAGGAACCAACGAGUUUAAAGGCAGCAUGGGAGUUGAUGGAAAUGUUUUAUGUAGACAAAUUAUGUCAGAGCUGGUUACCGGACGCCUUGUCGAUUGGUUGGCGGAUUAUGAUAGUCUAUUAUCAGGUGAUCAGCUGACUGUUCAUUCGAAACUUGUGGAGUUUCAAGGGAAACUAGUUACCUUACAGGCCAUCGAGGAUGAUCCUAAAUAUUGGGAGGUGAUAUCGUCUGACACUAGCAGUUGGUUGGCUAGAGAUUGUGGUGAAACAUUUGCUCAUGCAUGGAUCUCAUCAACUAGAUCAACUUGGCUAUAGAGAGUUGACACUGCUCUGCUGGGAAAAUGUCUCUCAAACGAAUAUUUUGUUGAAUAAACUGCAAGAAUUGUCCAUGGCAAGUGUUCGUCCAAGCUUUGUCGCCGCUGAGUUGCCAGCUGAGGCACUAAACUCUGUUAGGCUGGCUCUUGCCACAACUCUUGGGCGUGCCAUCUUAGAGGAACAAUGAUGCUUUGUUUUUUACGUUCUUGAAGCUAUUAAUGCACUCCCUGGUGACCAGGCAUUCAAGCCACAUGAUCACCAUCAUAUUGAAGAAAUGUUGAUGGUGAAUUUGGGAUUCGCUACAUGCAUGUACAUGUUUGUUUAAAGUUCUGCAUAGCCAAUGUUUCACAAGAGAAACCACUGCUCCUCUACUUGCUAGAAGUAUUGCUUAGAGGAGUCUGCAGUUAUCGAAUCACAUCUUGUUACAAUCAUGUUUGACGUUGUUGUAGAACUACACCACAAGUCUCUGGUUAGCAGAAAAUAUAUACCAUGCCUAGAUGAUAACACAUUUUGCUAUUGAAAUUUUCAUCUGAGUUGUAUCAAUGAUGGGCUGUUAUGGAAAACUCUCAGCUUUUGUUGUAUAUUGGUGUAUUCAAAGAAAUGUUAAUGACCUUAUGUUUAAACCUAA
Molecule: RNA transcript, 1618 nt
Organism: Populus trichocarpa (black cottonwood)
Lineage: Eukaryota; Viridiplantae; Streptophyta; Magnoliopsida; Malpighiales; Salicaceae
Exons: 6
Source: RefSeq, a predicted model, not a curated record